This is a long non-coding RNA of Centropristis striata (black sea bass), 370 nucleotides long. RefSeq lists it as uncharacterized. The record is from RefSeq and is a predicted model, not a curated record. Lineage: Eukaryota; Metazoa; Chordata; Actinopteri; Perciformes; Serranidae. The transcript is spliced from 3 exons.
AUGUUUUUAUCAAAGUUUUUCAACGUGGACAUUUUUGUACUUAAUGGCCUUAAAGUGUAUCUAUUAAAGUGAUACCUGAAAGUAAAAGAACUGAAUACUUCUACCACCACAGCUCACUAUACAGCUGUUGCAAAUCUGACAACAACUGUCAUACCUGAACUUGAACCUGAUCUUUCUUCCACAUGGACAUCUGAGAACAUUUCAAACUCAACCCAGCCAACAUCUGGAAUGGACACCAGUAGGUAUGUGAACCUUUCAACAGAAACUAAUAUUCGAUCCAACCUUACAGCCUCAAACGGCACUAAUGGAGGACAACAGAACAACAGCACAGGCCCUGUGCUGUACGCUACGGUCGGGGCUGCAGCUGUUG